This 427-nucleotide ribosomal RNA is filed under the name uncultured Actinomycetes bacterium. RNAcentral's name for it is "bacterial SSU rRNA". It matches the Rfam family "Bacterial small subunit ribosomal RNA", at positions 958 to 1385 of the family's 1533-position model. The record is from RNAcentral. Lineage: Bacteria; Bacillati; Actinomycetota; Actinomycetes.
AACGCGAAGAACCUUACCUGGGUUUGACAUGCACAGGACGCCGGCAGAGAUGUCGGUUCCCUUGUGGCCUGUGUGCAGGUGGUGCAUGGCUGUCGUCAGCUCGUGUCGUGAGAUGUUGGGUUAAGUCCCGCAACGAGCGCAACCCUUGUCUCAUGUUGCCAGCGCGUUAUGGCGGGGACUCGUGAGAGACUGCCGGGGUCAACUCGGAGGAAGGUGGGGAUGACGUCAAGUCAUCAUGCCCCUUAUGUCCAGGGCUUCACACAUGCUACAAUGGCCGGUACAAAGGGCUGCGAUGCCGUGAGGCUUAGCGAAUCCUUUAAAGCCGGUCUCAGUUCGGAUCGGGGUCUGCAACUCGACCCCGUGAAGUCGGAGUCGCUAGUAAUCGCAGAUCAGCAACGCUGCGGUGAAUACGUUCCCGGGCCUUGUA